GCUGGAAGAUGACGCCGAGGACGCCAGUUACUCUUCGGAAAGCAGCUUCAGCAGCACUCCAGGAUCUUCAUGACAUUCAAUGAGUAGCAAAAUUUGAAGAUAACUUCUGGAAUUUCAUCUAAUGUGUACUCAUCUGGAUCUUAGGGGAAAUAACCUAUCAGGUUAUAGGGAAGGAGGACCUUUAAUAACCAAGCUAAAUGUGUGGGCUGUUUACCUCUCCCUCUUAUGCAAAGGUAUCCCUUGCACACACUGAAAACUGCAUAGACCAAAAGCAUUAUAGCUCUAGUUUGCCUUGAAGGAAGUUGUAUUGUCUGUAGAGCAUGUGGGCCAUUUUCUGCCAAUAAAAUGUUCAAAUGUUCUCUCUCUCCGAAGCUUUGUUCACUGUGUCUGGUGGAAUUUUGGUUCUCAGGGAGUAGAUGAUACCUAGCCAUGCUUCUAAUGUGAAGUGUCUACCAGCCCAUGGUCUCUAUUUUGGAUUUGAACUUACUUCGACCCCCUACCUGAUGCCUUACCAUUUAAUCAUAUUGUGAUUGAACAUUUUUG
RNAcentral lists this long non-coding RNA (543 nucleotides) under Pan troglodytes (chimpanzee). RNAcentral's name for it is "long non-coding RNA NONPTRT006770". The record is from RNAcentral. Lineage: Eukaryota; Metazoa; Chordata; Mammalia; Primates; Hominidae.